Molecule: long non-coding RNA, 286 nt
Filed under: Lathyrus oleraceus (garden pea)
Lineage: Eukaryota; Viridiplantae; Streptophyta; Magnoliopsida; Fabales; Fabaceae
Description: Pisum sativum (pea) long non-coding RNA (PSAT_LNC004789)
Source: RNAcentral
UAUUAUUUUGAAUUUCUUUUUCUUUUAAAAUUCAUAGUAAUUUCAUUUUUCAUCCAAAAAAUCCCAAAAUAAUUUCUAAAAUUCUCUAUUAUUUUUCUUCCUCUGAUUUUUAUUUUUCACAUUCUAUUUCACUGAUUUUCUAUUUUUGUUGAAUUUUCUCUUUUCUCCUUUAUUUAAUUGGCUUAAAAAUAUUUUUCGGCAUUUUUAAAUUCUGAAUAAAUUACUACAUGCUUCUUAUUUUAUUUUCAUCCUUUCAUAAAUUUUUUGCUCAUUUAUUUGGUGUUUU